GAGUUUGAUCAUGGCUCAGAUUGAACGCUGGCGGCAGGCCUAACACAUGCAAGUCGAGCGGUAGAGAGAAGCUUGCUUCUCUUGAGAGCGGCGGACGGGUGAGUAAUGCCUAGGAAUCUGCCUGGUAGUGGGGGAUAACGCUCGGAAACGGACGCUAAUACCGCAUACGUCCUACGGGAGAAAGCAGGGGACCUUCGGGCCUUGCGCUAUCAGAUGAGCCUAGGUCGGAUUAGCUAGUUGGUGAGGUAAUGGCUCACCAAGGCGACGAUCCGUAACUGGUCUGAGAGGAUGAUCAGUCACACUGGAACUGAGACACGGUCCAGACUCCUACGGGAGGCAGCAGUGGGGAAUAUUGGACAAUGGGCGAAAGCCUGAUCCAGCCAUGCCGCGUGUGUGAAGAGGGUCUUCGGAUU
RNAcentral lists this ribosomal RNA (413 nucleotides) under uncultured bacterium. Its description in RNAcentral is "bacterial SSU rRNA". It matches the Rfam family "Bacterial small subunit ribosomal RNA", at positions 9 to 424 of the family's 1533-position model. The record is from RNAcentral.